Molecule: long non-coding RNA, 1083 nt
Filed under: Brassica napus (rape)
Lineage: Eukaryota; Viridiplantae; Streptophyta; Magnoliopsida; Brassicales; Brassicaceae
Description: long non-coding RNA (BNAP_LNC024597)
Source: RNAcentral
GCAGGUCCCUUAUUUUCACACACAUACACGCACACAUAUACGCCCACACAUACACAUAUAUUCAUGUUAUAUCAAAAGUCAAAAAUGAUCUGCCAAAGGAGAGUUGCCCUGCAACUAGUUUUAGCUUAGUUACACUGAUGAUAAAGGGGAAACCAAAGGUAUACUCUCUUUUUUUCUUCGAACAUAUAAUAUUUGCAAUAUUUUUUAUCAAUCCAUUUCAAUAGACAAAGUGUGUUGAUAUAUAUAAAUCUCAGUUAGUGUAUAAUUUUGUGUUAGAACAAGCUAGCAAUUUAUUAACAAGUAGAUAUCUUUUAACAUGAUCUAAUUAAUCAUUUAUAGUUCAUUGCAUUCUUUUCUUUUUGUCUCAUAUUAUGAAACUUAGAGACUAAGAAGUUAUACAUAUACAUAAGUGAAAUUUAGAUUUGUAAUUGUCACUAAAACUGACAUGGUAUACAUAUCACAUGAUGCUCAAACACAUCCAAACACAUCAUAAUUAUUAUUUAGGUUUUUAUAACAAAUCUUAGAAUGUUUUUCUUUUGUUUUAUUUUCAUAUUUAUUGUGUAAAAACUUUUAUGAUUGAAUGUGAUAUAUUGGGAGAUGUGGUUUUGCUUUCAAUUUUUAACUGAAUAGUAUGUAAAGUUUUAUUACCUUGACUGAAGAAGGGUUGGUCAGUUUUAGUGGAAGCACCAUAAUUUACUGGUUAAGGUUUAAAGGUUUCUACACCCAUGUCUGGGGUUCGAUUCCCAGACUAUGCAAUUUCUUGCAGAUUAUAUGAUGCAGAGCUUAUUGGAAGUUCCAUAGUACUGUAGGCAGAACCGUUCGUUGUGGUCGUUUGCUGCAGAGAUAUCCAGUCCAUCGAAGACGUCGUACAUGCAGAACCGUCCGUCGAUCCAAGUGUUUCGAGGAGAGCUUUAUCGUGGAAUCCUUAUCCGUAGAGCUGUUCAUCAAUAUUGCAUAUGUUGCAGGUAGUUGAUCAUCAUAUCUAAUAGAAUUAGAGAUUAUAUGAUGAUGUAAUGUGUUACCCAGUGUUAAAAAAAAAAAUUGGUAACUUGGUAAUAUAUUUUUGUUGUUAGUAUACCUCAU